UAGGGAAUCUUCCGCAAUGGGCGAAAGCCUGACGGAGCAACGCCGCGUGAGUGAAGAAGGAUUUCGGUUCGUAAAGCUCUGUUGUUAGGGAAGAAUGAUUAUGUAGUAACUAUACAUAGUAGAGACGGUACCUAACCAGAAAGCCACGGCUAACUACGUGCCAGCAGCCGCGGUAAUACGUAGGUGGCAAGCGUUGUCCGGAAUUAUUGGGCGUAAAGCGCGCGCAGGUGGUUUAAUAAGUCUGAUGUGAAAGCCCACGGCUCAACCGUGGAGGGUCAUUGGAAACUGUUAAACUUGAGUGCAGGAGAGAAAAGUGGAAUUCCUAGCGUAGCGGUGAAAUGCGUAGAGAUUAGGAGGAACACCAGUGGCGAAGGCGGCUUUUUGGCCUGUAACUGACACUGAGGCGCGAAAGCGUGGGGAGCAAACAGGAUUAGAUACCCUGGUAGUCCACGCCGUAAACGAUGAGUGCUAAGUGUUGGUCUCAUAAGAGAUCAGUGCUGCAGCUAACGCAUUAAGCACUCCGCCUGGGGGGUACGACCGCAAGGUUG
RNAcentral lists this ribosomal RNA (548 nucleotides) under uncultured bacterium. Its description in RNAcentral is "bacterial SSU rRNA". It matches the Rfam family "Bacterial small subunit ribosomal RNA", at positions 355 to 896 of the family's 1533-position model. The record is from RNAcentral.